GACGAACGCUGGCGGCGUGCUUAACACAUGCAAGUCGAACGGAAAGGCCCUGCUUUUGUGGGGUGCUCGAGUGGCGAACGGGUGAGUAACACGUGAGUAACCUGCCCUUGACUUUGGGAUAACUUCAGGAAACUGGGGCUAAUACCGGAUAGGAGCUCCUGCUGCAUGGUGGGGGUUGGAAAGUUUCGGCGGUUGGGGAUGGACCCGCGGCUUAUCAGCUUGUUGGUGGGGUAGUGGCUUACCAAGGCUUUGACGGGUAGCCGGCCUGAGAGGGUGACCGGCCACAUUGGGACUGAGAUACGGCCCAGACUCCUACGGGAGGCAGCAGUGGGGAAUAUUGCCCAAUGGGCGGAAGCCUGAUGCAGCAACGCCGCGUGCGGGAUGACGGCCUUCGGGUUGUAAACCGCUUUCGCCUGUGACGAAGCGUGAGUGACGGUAAUGGGUAAAGAAGCACCGGCUAACUACGUG
This 468-nucleotide ribosomal RNA is filed under the name uncultured bacterium. RNAcentral describes it as "partial 16S ribosomal RNA". It matches the Rfam family "Bacterial small subunit ribosomal RNA", at positions 28 to 507 of the family's 1533-position model. The record is from RNAcentral.